CUGGAUGAACCCCACGCUCACCUUUCCCAGUAGUCACGGCUCCAGCCUCACAGGGUCCUUGAGGUACCCUGGGUUUGCACUUCAUUCAGUUGGCACAGUUUUUAUUAUUUCUUUCAAUACCUCAUUACAGAAACAGACAGAAUAAUAGCUGGGAAGAAAAGCUGGAUGGCUUGAACUUUUCAUCUUAGAAAUAAAAACUGAGGUGCUUUUAUGGAGCAGAUAUAACUUAAAACGUUUGGUGUUUUCCAUGCAAUCACAUAAUGAUGACAUUGUUGGAGGAAAUCAGAGUAAGCAGAAAACCAAUAGGGUUAGCAAGGUGGGAGCCUACCAAUAUUGAGAUUGAUUUUCUACACAGAAUGAUUAAACUACCACUGCUCCCUUACAUACUAAAUCUUUAAAAUCCAACUCACCACUUUACUUUUCCCAAAAGUUGAAAACCAAAAGAAAAAAGAGAAAAACUUAUAUGAAGAAAAGUCAUUACCUCCCCAAAGCACGAUAGCAUAUUGACUUUGAAAACAGUAUCUUCUGAGAGAUGGAGGCCCAAAAGCUAGGGUUCAAUUAACUCAGUGAAGGCUCCAUGUUCCUUCCCAUCAAGUCAGAGGCAAUUACGUCUAUAAGCAAGUACAGACGUAUGUAUCAGUCUUUCCUUUCCAACUCUUCCCACUAUGUGUAUGUAUGUUUCUAUUUUUAAUUGUUUAUGGAACAUUCCAGGAAGAGAUAUCAAAUAAAAACAAGAGGGAUUACUCAGCAUUUCUGAAUUCUGUCAUAAGAUAGUCUAAAGCUUACACAUGUGCUACAAUUAUAGGCAGUUCAUGGCAUAAGUCAUCAAAUAAAAAGGAACAGAAGAUGGUGACAUAGGAGUCUCCCAAGCUCCCCUCCUCCCAUGGACACAAUGAAUCUAUGGCUGCACAUGGAACAGUUCCCUCUGAAAAAGAACUCAGAAAGUAGCUCAGUGGAACGAUAAGAAAAUCACCACAUCGUAAAGUGUAGUAGAAGGUCAGACACAAUCUUGUCAUCACUUCACCCCCGGCACGGUCACACACCACCAGGAGGGAACUCGCAACUCCAGAUUCUCCUUGAGGAGCAGAAGGUUUGGACUCCACAUCUGACAUCCCAACUUUUAAGACUUUCCCCUGACAGAUGGGCCCCCAAAACAUCUAGCUCUGAAAGCCAGUGGGAAUUGCCUCCAUGAGGCACACAAGGGUAUAACAGACUGAGAAAGUCUCAAGGGGCACAUGAGGACUCACUGGGGCUGUGCCCCAAGCCCAGUGCAGAGGCAGCAGACAAACCUGCCCAGUAGUUCCAUGAAAGAGACCUAUUUGCUUAACGUUAAAGCUGUACCCUGAGGGUCAGGCUUCUAAUUCAACACACAGCUAGGAUCCAACUGCAUUCUCUCCAAAAACCAGGCAGGCCAGUGGGUGCUGCCUUUGUGCUCUUUCUCUGCCCCGUCGCAGGUCACUGGUAAAAGAAAGAUGCUUGUACACACAUCCCUUACCAAGGACACAUCCCUUGACAGCCUGGUUCCAUUGCUAGCAGGGCUUGUGUUCACGGGAUUAACAGGACAGAGGCAACAAAACGCUCUU
This is a non-coding RNA of Vicugna pacos (alpaca), 1583 nucleotides long. The record is from RefSeq and is a predicted model, not a curated record. NCBI's taxonomy places the organism in Eukaryota, Metazoa, Chordata, Mammalia, Artiodactyla, Camelidae.